AGAGCGGACUUCAGCCAAGAAUGACUUGCCAACAAGCUGAAGCCUUGGACUUCUACAUUAAGAUAUUGGCAACUCAUUCUUGGCUUUAUUCCACUCUCU
Musa acuminata subsp. malaccensis (wild Malaysian banana) is the source of this 99-nucleotide non-coding RNA. The record is from Rfam. NCBI's taxonomy places the organism in Eukaryota, Viridiplantae, Streptophyta, Magnoliopsida, Zingiberales, Musaceae.